GAAGAAUUAGUUAAACUAUAACAUUAGAAUGUCAAACUAAAAUUAUCAAAUAGAUUAUGAUAUUCUUCA
RNAcentral lists this transfer RNA (69 nucleotides) under Anisolampra panfilovi. RNAcentral's name for it is "tRNA-Asp". Lineage: Eukaryota; Metazoa; Arthropoda; Insecta; Blattodea; Blaberidae. The record is from RNAcentral.